AUCACCUGGGGACGAAUAAUAGACAACAUCGUUAGAUAUAUAUGUUAUAUACGCUAAAUAUUUUUAACUCACGGUUUUAUCAAGACAAAUGUAAGAAUCUAAAUCUAAUUCACUACAUUUUAUCCAGCAUUUUGGUCAGAAAGUGACUUUUUUAAAGAUUUUAAAUGGAAAUGGACAGAGUCUUCCACCGGAAAGCUACCUCAAUUUAUUUUUUAAAUAAAAUUACGGACAACUUAUUUUACUAAUGUUACAAAAAUCAUGACUAAUGCAACUAAAUUAAAUUUCAAAACAGAGAGAUUUUUCUAAUCCUGCAGGAAUAAGUGGUCAAGAAGAAGACAGGUUAAACUGUGGUUAACAACUUUGAAGUAUGAUUGUGAACGUUCGGACUGCGAUUGCGAACUUUGGACUAUGAUUGAGAACUUCGGACUGCGAACAUCAGACUGCGUUUGCGAACUUUGGACUGUGAUCAAAAACGUUGGACUGUGAUUAAAAACUUCGGACUGUGAGUGAGAACUUCAGACUGCGAAAAUCUGACUGCGAUUGUGAACUUUGGACUGGAAUUGAGAACUUCGGAAAAUGAUUAAGAACUUCGGACAAUGGUUUGGAACAUGUAGCUGCGAUUGAGAACUUCGGAUUAUGAUUGAGAAAAAACUUCGGACUGCCAUUGAGAAAGAACUUCAGACUGUGGGGGCAGCAUUGGAUCUCUUGGUGUACAGCCUGCCAUUAUUAUUAUUAUUCUUAUUCUUAUUAUUAUUAGAAGAAGAAUCGAGCAGGAAACUCAAUAAAUCUCUAGUCAGCAGUCUCCACUGGCAAUGAGAUGACAGCGAUCAUCAGCCAAACAAACGAGAGAAAGCUCCGGAGGGAAAAGUGUGAGACGGAUGGAAGAGGAGCCGGGAGCCUAAAGUUUCGAUGAGUCAUCGUGAAACUGUGCCAGACUGUUCCAGACAAUAAUCCUGGUCCAAUUCAUCCAUUAAAUCACAAUCUACGUUAAUAAUUCAUCGCUUUGAGUGUUUUUGCGUGAUUUCAGCUAGGAACUCGGAAUUUCCGACUCGGAAACUCAGAGCAAACCUUGCCAACCCCCGACGAUGGCUGCCGCCCUACAAACUUCCAGUUUCACUCCCAGUUCCAACUUCCGAUGUAAAUUAAACGCAACAUAAAGUUCUG
Solea senegalensis (Senegalese sole) is the source of this 1164-nucleotide long non-coding RNA. RefSeq lists it as uncharacterized. The transcript is spliced from 2 exons. NCBI's taxonomy places the organism in Eukaryota, Metazoa, Chordata, Actinopteri, Pleuronectiformes, Soleidae. The record is from RefSeq and is a predicted model, not a curated record.